UUGGCAAGUCGAGCGAAAGGAUUAAGAGCCUGCUCCUUUGAAGUUAGCGGCGGGCGGGUGAGUAACACGUGGGUAACCUGCCCAUAAGACUGGGAUAACUUCGGGAAACCGGGGCUAAUACCGGAUAAUAUUUUGAACCGCAUGGUUCGAAAUUGAAAGGCGGCUUCGGCUGUCCCUAUUGGAUGGACCCGCCCCGCAUUACCUAGUUGGNGAGGUAACGGCUCACCAGGGCAACGAUGCUUACCCAACCUGAAAGGGGGUUCGGCCCCCCUGGAAUUGAAACCCGGCCCAAAUUCUUACGGGGGGCAGCAGUAGGGAAUCUUCCGCAAGGGGCGAAAGUCUGACGAACAACCCCCCCUGAUUGAGGAAGUCUUUCGAUCGUAAAAUUCUGUAGUUAGGGAGACCAAGGCUAUUGACUGUGUGGUCCCUGAGGGGUACCUACCAAAAGCCAGGGUAAUACGGCCAGCGCGGGUAUCGUGUGGGCCGUUUACCAAUUUUGCGCUAGGCGCGCGCGCGUGUUUUUUAUGUGUGUGAAAGCCGCGCUCCCCGGGGGGAAGAGAAAUGGUGAAAUUCCAUGUGUAGCGGUGAAAUGCGUAGAGAUAUGGAGGAACACCAGUGGCGAAGGCGACUUUCUGGUCUGUAACUGACACUGAGGCGCGAAAGCGUGGGGAGCAAACAGGAUUAGAUACCCUGGUAGUCCACGCCGUAAACGAUGAGUGCUAAGUGUUAGAGGGUUUCCGCCCUUUAGUGCUGAAGUUAACGCAUUAAGCACUCCGCCUGGGGAGUACGGCCGCAAGGCUGAAACUCAAAAGGAUUGACAGGGGCCCGCACAAGCGGUGGAGCAUGUGGUUUAAUUCGAAGCAACGCGAAGAACCUUACCAGGUCUUGACAUCCUCCAACCCUAGAGAUAGGGCUUCUCCUUCGGGAGCAGAGUGACAGGUGGUGCAUGGUUGUCGUCAGCUCGUGUCGUGAGAUGUUGGGUUAAGUCCCGCAACGAGCGCAACCCUUGAUCUUAGUUCCCAUCAUUAAGUUGGGCACUCUAAGGUGACUGCCGGUGACAAACCGGAGGAAGGUGGGGAUGAGGUCAAAUCAUCAUCCCCCUUAUGACCUGGGCUACACACGUGCUACAAUGGACGGUCCAAAGAGCUCCAAGACCGCGAGGUGGAGCUAAUCUCAUAAAACCGUUCUCAGUUCGGAUUGUAGGCUGCAACUCGCCUCCAUGAAGCUGGAAUCGCUAGUAAUCGCGGAUCAGCAUGCCGCGGUGAAUACGUUCCCGGCCCUUGUACACACCGCCCGUCACACCACGAGAGUUUGUAACACCCGAAGUCGGUGGGGUAACCUUUUUGGAGCCAGCCGCCUA
RNAcentral lists this ribosomal RNA (1360 nucleotides) under Bacillus cereus. Its description in RNAcentral is "bacterial SSU rRNA". It matches the Rfam family "Bacterial small subunit ribosomal RNA". The record is from RNAcentral. Lineage: Bacteria; Bacillati; Bacillota; Bacilli; Caryophanales; Bacillaceae.